GACGAGGGAUCCUAGCGUUGUUCGGAAUUAUUGGGCGUAAAGCGGGGGCAGGUGGCUCUGUAAGUCAGAUGUGAAAGCCCAGGGCUUAACCCUGGAAGUGCAUUUGAAACUGCGGAGCUUGAGUGCCGGAGAGAUUAGUGGAAUACCUGGUGUAGUGGUGAAAUACGUAGAUAUCAGGUGGAACACCGGAGGCGAAGGCGGCUAAUUGGCCGGACACUGACACUCAUCCCCGAAAGCGUGGGUAGCAAAC
Molecule: ribosomal RNA, 250 nt
Filed under: uncultured bacterium
Lineage: Bacteria
Description: partial 16S ribosomal RNA
Rfam family: Bacterial small subunit ribosomal RNA
Source: RNAcentral